UCGGCUCCGCGCCGCCCGCCCCCGCGCUCGCCCCCACGCUCCCGGCUCCGCUUCCGUCGUUCGCCGCCGCCGCCGCUGCCGCCGCUCCGGUGCUUGUGUUUCUUGUGCUCCCGGUGCCGCGGCGGCUGCUCGGUGGUGCCCCCGGUGCCGGCCGCCGCUGUCGUCCCGGCCGCCUCCUUCUCGCCGCGGUGCUUUUUUGACGACCCCAUAGUGGCACGUCCGCCCCGAGCCCGGCCGCCGCCGAGUCUCAACGACGCAAAAAGGGAACACUUCCGGGUCGCCCGGCAGCCGCGGCCGUGUUGCCGGAAACCAAGAGCGGCUGCUUCCGUCGGUCGCCUCGGAGGCUGCCCCAGAGGCUCUCGGGAAGGCCGGGCUCCAAGCCCGACGGCUCCCCCGGCGGCCGACUGGGGCGUUUCCGCAGCUUGUCUGACUGCGCAUGCGCUCCUCUAAGUGCGCGAACCUCGUCGGCGAGGGACCAAAUCCAGAACCUUACAUAAGGACCUAGAACAGCCUUCGUCCCCGGAGCUGGACGUCCCUCUAGGCUUCUGUCAGCUUGCACACCCCCAGCCACGCGGCGCUCACUGCCUCACGACCUUUCCGUGGACAGCUGCCACCGCUGUAAUUGGGGUCCAGCCAGCGGACUCCAUCAGAUGCUGAGCGGUGUAGCAAGUUCUACCCCGGACCCCCAGCUCCGCAGCCGUCUCCGUGCUCCAGGAGGCACUGAGCAGCCAUCGCUGACUUCCGACGUUCCCUGGAUUAAGUGUUUCAACCUGUUCAACCUGGGGUCUGUGAACUGCCAAGAGGCUCCAGGGACUGGACUCCAGAUCCAAGCUGGGAGCAGAGGACCAGUCAGGCUGGCUGCUGGUGUGUCCGGCUUCUAUCCUCAAGGGGCUCUGAGAAGAGGGCUGUCUUCUCAGCCCUGUUGAUCUGUGGCUCCUUAAAGACAAGGACACAGAUAGAGGCCCCUGGACUCUGCAGCUCCACCUCCAGCCCCACCCCUGGGCUCUAGGAGGGGAAAGGCCAUAUGUCUGAUAACGUGUGUUCAAAUCCUGUCUUCUGUGCUGACUUGCUGUGUGACCCUGGGCGAGGGACUUCCCCUCCCCGAGCCUGUUUCCUUAUUGUGAAGUGGACCUCGGGAGCCCUGCUUUGCAGUACAUUAUUCCAAGGAGUAAGGGAUGGUAUGCAUAGGAAAAGCAGGGUGGUGCCAACCCGGUAAGGAGGGCAUGGGGAGUGGCUGCACAGAUGGCCGCAGGGACCCAGACUAGCUCUGCUGCUGAUUUGGUGCUGGGUCUUGGAUUCUCAGUUUCCUUGCUGAGAAACGGUGAGAAUAACCCUGGCCUCUCCCUCCUUGGGGGACGUGGAGGACAGCUGGGCCUGGGGAGGACCCUGCUGAUUGCUAGGGCCAGGCUGGGUCCUUCAGGCUGGGGAAUAGGGGGCAGGGCAGGCCUGAAGCACCGUGAUCGGUGAUCCUCCCCCAUUCCCCGCAGCCAGCCUCACCUGGGUUUCCUGCAGGUGCCUUCCGUGUCCCCCUUGCCCGCCUCGGCCAGCAGCCACUCCUCAUCCAGGCCCAGCGCUGACAGCACCUGGGAGAAGCGACGGCUCACUGUGAGCCGGGCAUUGGCCUAGGAGAGAGGAAAGAGGUUGCUGCCAAGGAGGUGGGAGGGCUCUGGUCACCUUGGGGUGGCCCACUCCCCCCUUCCGUCCCCACUCAGCCAGGGAGAAGCUCUGUCUUCAGGGGGCGUCCCUCACCUGCAUGGCCUGCUGGAACAGGUAGGGCCGGGCCUGCACCCUGUGCUGGAUGCCCUGCAGCUCCGCCUGGUACUCAGCAAAGCGCUGUCGCUCCUGGCGCCUGCACGGGAGAGGCCUCUGGGCAGCUAACCUGCCCCCAGGUCCCCAGCCCUCUGGACACAACCCAUCCCUACUCCUGAGCCUGCUCAUCCUCACUAAGGACUUUAUGUGCUCCCCACCUUUCCUUCAUUCCUACCCUCGCCCUGGAUUCCUCGGGAGAUCAGCAGGAUGGGAAUUGUUCACCCCAUUUUACUCGUGAUGAGCCUGAAGUUCAGGAGAGUCGAGAGUUCUGUCCAGGGUUGCACAGCUGGGAAAUCGGGGACUCCCAGGCACCCCACCAAGGGAGAGGAGCCAGCGCUGCUUCUGAGCCCCUGGAUGUCUGCUUGCACAGCCUCUCCUCUGCCCGCAGCCCCAUCCCUGCACCUCACACUCGGCCCUGAGAAGGAGGUUGGCUGUGUGACUUUGAACAAGGCAAUGCCCCUGUCUGGGCUCGGUUUCCUUUCACUGGGCUAUUGCGGGGACUGGACGUGCUCACCAGCAUUCUCUGUGAUUCUUAUAAACAGGCUGUUCAGAAAAGGAGACACAGAACUAGAGAGAUGUUUUGCAAAGGAAAGAGCACAUCCCAGAAAACUUAGGAUUCUCCUGGGGAAGCACAAUUCUAUUUACAAAAACCCAGUUUAUGCACUUCCCAGAUUCUGCUCAGCAAACUGAGCAGCAGUGCCUUGCAUGAAGAGAGCAUCCUGGCAGCAAGAGGGGUCCUCUGGCCACAGCAUAUGUGGGGCAAGUGGCCCUUUGCAAAGCACAUAGGAGAGGUCACCUGGGUGGGGGGAGCACCCAGAGAGAGCACAGGAGGGGAGAAGCAGCAGAACCCAAGGCUUGUGCUGAGACCUCUGGCAAGUGUGCUGGACCCCUUGGAAAAAUGCUGCCUUCUUGGGCCAGAACCCUUGGCCAUGUGCCAAGCAAGGAACCUUCCUCCUUCCAAGAGAAAAGAAAUGGACUUGAAAACCCCAUCAUCAGGAACAUAAGUUACUGCAAAAAAAAAAAAAAAAAAAA
Molecule: long non-coding RNA, 2841 nt
Organism: Choloepus didactylus (southern two-toed sloth)
Lineage: Eukaryota; Metazoa; Chordata; Mammalia; Pilosa; Megalonychidae
Exons: 2
Source: RefSeq, a predicted model, not a curated record